RNAcentral lists this ribosomal RNA (428 nucleotides) under Chloroflexota bacterium. RNAcentral describes it as "Chloroflexi bacterium partial 16S ribosomal RNA". It matches the Rfam family "Bacterial small subunit ribosomal RNA", at positions 355 to 776 of the family's 1533-position model. The record is from RNAcentral. Lineage: Bacteria; Bacillati; Chloroflexota.
UGGGGAAUAUUGCACAAUGGGCGCAAGCCUGAUGCAGCCAUGCCGCGUGUAUGAAGAAGGCCUUCGGGUUGUAAAGUACUUUCAGCGGGGAGGAAGGGAGUAAAGUUAAUACCUUUGCUCAUUGACGUUACCCGCAGAAGAAGCACCGGCUAACUCCGUGCCAGCAGCCGCGGUAAUACGGAGGGUGCAAGCGUUAAUCGGAAUUACUGGGCGUAAAGCGCACGCAGGCGGUUUGUUAAGUCAGAUGUGAAAUCCCGGGCUCAACCUGGGAACUGCAUCUGAUACUGGCAAGCUUGAGUCUCGUAGAGGGGGGUAGAAUUCCAGGUGUAGCGGUGAAAUGCGUAGAGAUGUGGAGGAAUACCGGUGGCGAAGGCGGCCCCCUGGACAAAGACUGACGCUCAGGUGCGAAAGCGUGGGGAGCAAACAGG